UACAGAGGGGGCAAGCGUUGUUCGGAAUUACUGGGCGUAAAGGGCGCGUAGGCGGCCUUCUAAGUCGAACGUGAAAUCCCCGGGCUCAACCUGGGAACUGCGUCUGAUACUGGAUGGCUUGAAUCCGGGAGAGGGAUGCAGAAUUCCAGGUGUAGCGGUGAAAUGCGUAGAUAUCUGGAGGAAUACCGGUGGCGAAGGCGGCAUCCUGGACCGGCAUUGACGCUGAGGAGCGAAAGCCAGGGGAGCAAACGGG
This 253-nucleotide ribosomal RNA is filed under the name uncultured bacterium. Its description in RNAcentral is "partial 16S ribosomal RNA". It matches the Rfam family "Bacterial small subunit ribosomal RNA", at positions 524 to 776 of the family's 1533-position model. The record is from RNAcentral.